Molecule: ribosomal RNA, 497 nt
Filed under: uncultured bacterium
Lineage: Bacteria
Description: partial 16S ribosomal RNA
Rfam family: Bacterial small subunit ribosomal RNA
Source: RNAcentral
GAUGAACGCUGGCGGCGUGCCUAAUACAUGCAAGUCGAACGAACGGACGAGAAGCUUGCUUCUCUGAUGUUAGCGGCGGACGGGUGAGUAACACGUGGAUAACCUACCUAUAAGACUGGGAUAACUUCGGGAAACCGUAGCUAAAAACGGAUAAUAUUUUGAACCGCAUGGUUCAAAAGUGAAAGACGGUCUUGCUGUCACUUAUAGAUGGAUCCGCGCUGCAUUAGCUAGUUGGUAAGGUAACGGCUUACCAAGGCAACGAUGCAUAGCCGACCUGAGAGGAUGAUCGGCCACACUGGAACUGAGACACGGUCCAGACUCCUACGGGAGGCAGCAGUGGGGAAUCUUCCGCAAUGGGCGAAAGCCUGACGGAGCAACGCCGCGUGUGUGAUGAAGGUCUUCGGAUCGUAAAACUCUGUUAUUAGGGAAGAACAUAGGUGUAAUUAACUGUGCACAUCUUGACGUUACCUAAUCAGAAAGCCACGGCUAACUACGUG